This 63-nucleotide transfer RNA is filed under the name Trachypeplus jacobsoni. RNAcentral's name for it is "tRNA-Gly". The record is from RNAcentral. Lineage: Eukaryota; Metazoa; Arthropoda; Insecta; Hemiptera; Tingidae.
AUUCUUUUAGUAUAAAAAUUAUAUUUAACUUCCAAUUAAAUGAUCUUGUUAAAAGAAAGAAUA